This 461-nucleotide ribosomal RNA is filed under the name uncultured bacterium. RNAcentral's name for it is "partial 16S ribosomal RNA". It matches the Rfam family "Bacterial small subunit ribosomal RNA", at positions 338 to 795 of the family's 1533-position model. The record is from RNAcentral.
CCUACGGGUGGCAGCAGUGAGGAAUAUUGGUCAAUGGGCUUACGCCUGAACCAGCCAAGUCGCGUGAGGGAAGACUGCCCUAUGGGUUGUAAACCUCUUUUGUCAGGGAGCAACGCCGGCUACGUGUAGCCGGACUGAGAGUACCUGAAGACAAAGCAUCGGCUAACUCCGUGCCAGCAGCCGCGGUAAUACGGAGGAUGCGAGCGUUAUCCGGAUUUAGUGGGUGUAAAGGGUGGGUAGGUGGCUUAUUAAGUUAGAGGUGAAAGCCCGAAGCUCAACUUCGGAACUGCCUUUAAAACUGGUUGGCUUGAGUGUGGGAGAGGUUAGUGGAACUCCUAGUGUAGCGGUGGAAUGCGUAGAUAUUAGGAAGAACAUCAGAGGCGAAGGCGACUAACUGGAACAUUACUGACACUGAAACACGAAAGCGUGGGGAGCAAACAGGAUUAGAUACCCCUGUAGUC